This 498-nucleotide ribosomal RNA is filed under the name uncultured bacterium. Its description in RNAcentral is "partial 16S ribosomal RNA". It matches the Rfam family "Bacterial small subunit ribosomal RNA", at positions 28 to 507 of the family's 1533-position model. The record is from RNAcentral.
GACGAACGCUGGCGGCGUGCCUAAUACAUGCAAGUCGAGCGGACGGAUGGGAGCUUGCUCCCAGACCGUCAGCGGCGGACGGGUGAGUAACACGUGGGCAACCUGCCUGUAAGACUGGGAUAACUCCGGGAAACCGGGGCUAAUACCGGAUAACUCUUUCCCUCACGUGAGGGAAAGCUGAAAGAUGGCAUCUCGCUAUCACUUACAGAUGGGCCCGCGGCGCAUUAGCUAGUUGGUGAGGUAACGGCUCACCAAGGCGACGAUGCGUAGCCGACCUGAGAGGGUGAUCGGCCACACUGGGACUGAGACACGGCCCAGACUCCUACGGGAGGCAGCAGUAGGGAAUCUUCCGCAAUGGACGAAAGUCUGACGGAGCAACGCCGCGUGAGUGAUGAAGGUUUUCGGAUCGUAAAACUCUGUUGUCAGGGAAGAACAAGUACCGGAGUAACUGCCGGUACCUUGACGGUACCUGACCAGAAAGCCACGGCUAACUACGUG